GAUGAACGCUGGCGGCGUGCCUAAUACAUGCAAGUCGAGCGAACAGAUGAGGAGCUUGCUCCUCUGACGUUAGCGGCGGACGGGUGAGUAACACGUGGAUAACCUACCUAUAAGACUGGGAUAACUUCGGGAAACCGGAGCUAAUACCGGAUAAUAUAUUGAACCGCAUGGUUCAAUAGUGAAAGACGGUUUUGCUGUCACUUAUAGAUGGAUCCGCGCCGCAUUAGCUAGUUGGUAAGGUAACGGCUUACCAAGGCAACGAUGCGUAGCCGACCUGAGAGGGUGAUCGGCCACACUGGAACUGAGACACGGUCCAGACUCCUACGGGAGGCAGCAGUAGGGAAUCUUCCGCAAUGGGCGAAAGCCUGACGGAGCAACGCCGCGUGAGUGAUGAAGGUCUUCGGAUCGUAAAACUCUGUUAUUAGGGAAGAACAAAUGCGUAAGUAACUAUGCACGUCUUGACGGUACCUAAUCAGAAAGCCACGGCCAACUACGUG
This 497-nucleotide ribosomal RNA is filed under the name uncultured bacterium. RNAcentral's name for it is "partial 16S ribosomal RNA". It matches the Rfam family "Bacterial small subunit ribosomal RNA", at positions 28 to 507 of the family's 1533-position model. The record is from RNAcentral.